Molecule: ribosomal RNA, 464 nt
Filed under: uncultured bacterium
Lineage: Bacteria
Description: partial 16S ribosomal RNA
Rfam family: Bacterial small subunit ribosomal RNA
Source: RNAcentral
GACGAACGCUGGCGGCGUGCUUAACACAUGCAAGUCGUACGGUAAGGCCCUUUCGGGGGUACACGAGUGGCGAACGGGUGAGUAACACGUGAGUAACCUGCCCACAACUUUGGGAUAACGCUAGGAAACUGGUGCUAAUACUGGAUAUGUGCUCCUGCUGCAUGGUGGGGGUUGGAAAGCUCCGGCGGUUGUGGAUGGACUCGCGGCCUAUCAGCUUGUUGGUGGGGUAGUGCCUACCAAGGCGGCGACGGGUAGCCGGCCUGAGAGGGUGACCGGCCACAUUGGGACUGAGAUACGGCCCAGACUCCUACGGGAGGCAGCAGUGGGGAAUAUUGCACAAUGGGCGCAAGCCUGAUGCAGCAACGCCGCGUGCGGGAUGACGGCCUUCGGGUUGUAAACCGCUUUCAGCAGGGACGAAGCUUUUUGUGACGGUACCUGCAGAAGAAGCACCGGCUAACUACGUG